GUGGACGAUCAGUGGAUGAACUACAUCUCAUUCUGUGGGUGAUGGACUCACGCUGAGUUAGAGGGCUGUUUGGUUGCAGAGCUGAUUUACGUCCACAGCAAGCUGCUCAUCAUCGACAACAACACGGUCAUCAUCGAACCAUCCUCGGUGCCUUUACGGACCCCAGCGUAGACGUGAGUGACCUCAUCGGUGACCGUUUCUGUAAGGAGGUUUGGAUGACCACUGCAGGACGCAACGCCACCAUCUACGAGAAGGUGUUCCACUGCCUGCCCUCCAGCCUGGUGAGGAACCUGCAGGAGAGGCUUCCUGGUUCAGUUCCCGCUGGACUUCCUGAGUGAGCAGAACCUGCUGCCCUCCAUCGGCACCAAGGAGGCCAUGGUCCCCGCCGAGAUCUGGACCUGAUUGAAACUGUGACCGUAAACACGGAGUCCGUAUGAGGCGAAACGGCGCCCCCUUCUGGACGAGCUGUGAAGAAACUGCAUGAUGAACUGAAAUGAAGCGAAUCGUAUGAAGGCGGGCAGCUCACUGUGAAGUGCCUUAGGAGGGUGUAAACACCUCCGUAUCAGUUCCUACCUAUGACUACAUCAUAUUUGUCUUGUCAGUAGCAACAAAUGCAGAAUAUAGAAUAUAAAAAUGACGUUUUUACAAUAAACCGUAACAGUAAAACAGCAAAAAAAUGAUUUUAGCAAAUGGAAACUCAGAAAGAGGCCAGCAUGUCUAAUAUUUAGUGUACACUAAGCUUUACAGGACUGUUCAGCUUAUUUCUACACAUUUUUCAUUAUUUUAUGUUGUGAUCCAAGAAAAUGAUCUUACAGCUUGGGCCACUUUUAACAUGCGUUGUUAAAAAAGCGCAGUUACCUGCCAGUAAGACACACGCAGUCAGAUUUUACCACUUAAAAUAAGCCGAAAUAUCUAGAAAUGGUUUGAAUUAUCUCUAAAUAUUAGCCAUGUCCCUACAGUCGAGGUUUUCUCCUGAUAAUGUGCCUUUCCUUUCACUACUACUUCCACUAUUCACUGUUCAGUGUCUGAGGUUUGAUUCUUUAGUUUUAGUGCUGGAGCUGUGAAUGCAGCUCACAAGUAAUGGAAGCAUAUAGCCCACCAGUUAGCAUGGUGCUAACUGCAUGCCUUCAUGCUGAUUUCAAAAUUCAUUAUAAGCAGAUAGAAAGCAGAAAAUAAGAAAGCUAGCGAAUUAUGAACAUUAUGAAUUUUGCAUUAUUUUUAAAAAUGAACAGACAACAUUCAGUCUUCCAGGUGGCUGCUAUUGUUUUGGCUAAGCUAAUGUGCUUUAGUCCAUGUUUGUAGAACAGAGAGUCACAGAAACCACUGUUUACUGCUACAGCACCAGUUAGCACGAUGCUAAUCACUGGGCAAUAAGAUUCCAUCUCGUUUUUAAUGUAAAAGAAUUCAUUCAUUUCCCUGAACAGCGUAAAACAUUUUUACACCGCUGUUAUAUUUAAGAACUUUUAAACUCGAGUUAUAGGAGUUUAAAACGGCGCCUCAUGUACGUUCAUGACGUCAGUGAGCGCGAACAGCCAAUGAGCUGCUCCGCUUGCAACCAGUCGUCACUCUCUGGCAGUAAAGCCUGCCUCCUGCUGCCCAAAACCCGUUUACUGUAGAAUAAAGGAAACAUACUGGUGAGAUUUCUUUGUUUUUUAGUGAAACUCGUCCUUCUACUGUCUAUAAUUAAAGGAAAGUUCUGGGAAAGUGAUUAGAAACUAUUUUAACUGUUCGUUUUUAGCCGUUGGGCUCCAUUCACUCCCAUUCAUUGAGGACUCCGCUCGCUGGCGACCUCUGCUGUUUCGUAGUGUUUUUGAUAUAACAGGGGAAGUAGGAAGUGGCCAGGCUCCUCAUAAACCGGCUCUGGUACAGCAAGGUCUCCUUCUUUCUCUGGAGUUUUCCGUCUCUGAACGCGGGGAGGCUCGGCCGAGUGCUGUUUUCUCUCCUCCUGCGCUCAGAUGUCGCUGAAAGCCAUUUCUGCCGCAGCUUCUCUGAACAGACACUGUUCAAAUCUUUAAUAGCAGUUUUUUUUUGCACAUUCUUCUUAUCUUUUCUGUUCAUUUACAGUCUGUACAGAGCAGGAAGUAGACGACCGAGGGAAAAUGAAUGGGGAAUAAAUCUGAAAUGUGAAUAAAUCCUUGAUUAAACCUGUUAUUAUAUAAUAA
Pygocentrus nattereri (red-bellied piranha) is the source of this 2162-nucleotide long non-coding RNA. RefSeq lists it as uncharacterized. Lineage: Eukaryota; Metazoa; Chordata; Actinopteri; Characiformes; Serrasalmidae. The record is from RefSeq and is a predicted model, not a curated record. The transcript is spliced from 3 exons.